GCCAUACUAUUCUCCCGAGCUUCAUAAUUUUUGCUGACCUGUCCCACUACUAAUUGAGAGUCACUGUAGGCUUGAAGCCGAUCUACUUCUAAUUCUUUGGCGAUCCUCAGUCUUGCAAUCAGAGCUUCAUAUUCUGCUCCGUUAUUUGUCACAGAAAAUUCGAAGCGCAGCACAUACUCCACAAUAAUUCCAUCUGGAUUGAUCAAGA
Molecule: long non-coding RNA, 208 nt
Filed under: Elaeis guineensis (African oil palm)
Lineage: Eukaryota; Viridiplantae; Streptophyta; Magnoliopsida; Arecales; Arecaceae
Description: long non-coding RNA (EGUI_LNC081486)
Source: RNAcentral